GAUGAACGCUAGCGACAGGCCUAACACAUGCAAGUCGAGGGGUAACAGGGAAGCUUGCUUCCGCUGACGACCGGCGCACGGGUGCGUAACGCGUAUGAAACCUGCCUUAUACUGGGGGAUAGCCCGAAGAAAUUCGGAUUAAUACCCCAUAAUAUUGUUGAUUGGCAUCAAUUAAUAAUUAAAACUCCGGUGGUAUAAGAUGGUCAUGCGUGACAUUAGCUAGUUGGUAAGGUAACGGCUUACCAAGGCGACGAUGUCUAGGGGUUCUGAGAGGAAGGUCCCCCACACUGGUACUGAGACACGGACCAGACUCCUACGGGAGCAGCAGUGAGGAAUAUUGGUCAAUGGACGCAAGUCUGAACCAGCCAUGUCGCGUGCAGGAAGACUGCCCUAUGGGUUGUAAACUGCUUUUAUAUGGGAAGAAAAUAUAGUUACGUGUAAUUAUUUGCCGGUACAUAUGAAUAAGCUCGG
This 471-nucleotide ribosomal RNA is filed under the name uncultured bacterium. RNAcentral describes it as "bacterial SSU rRNA". It matches the Rfam family "Bacterial small subunit ribosomal RNA", at positions 28 to 495 of the family's 1533-position model. The record is from RNAcentral.